CCUACGGGUGGCUGCAGUGGGGAAUAUUGGACAAUGGGGGCAACCCUGAUCCAGCCAUGCCGCGUGUGUGAAGAAGGCCCUCGGGUUGUAAAGCACUUUCAGUGAGGAAGAACGCCUGGUGGUUAAUACCCGUCAGGAAAGACAUCACUCACAGAAGAAGCACCGGCUAACUCCGUGCCAGCAGCCGCGGUAAUACGGAGGGUGCGAGCGUUAAUCGGAAUUACUGGGCGUAAAGCGCGCGUAGGUGGCUUGAUAAGCCGGUUGUGAAAGCCCCGGGCUCAACCUGGGAACGGCAUCCGGAACUGUCAAGCUAGAGUGCAGGAGAGGAAGGUAGAAUUCCCGGUGUAGCGGUGAAAUGCGUAGAGAUCGGGAGGAAUACCAGUGGCGAAGGCGGCCUUCUGGACUGACACUGACACUGAGGUGCGAAAGCGUGGGUAGCAAACAGGAUUAGAUACCCCAGUAGUC
This 465-nucleotide ribosomal RNA is filed under the name Vreelandella stevensii. Its description in RNAcentral is "partial 16S ribosomal RNA". It matches the Rfam family "Bacterial small subunit ribosomal RNA", at positions 338 to 795 of the family's 1533-position model. Lineage: Bacteria; Pseudomonadati; Pseudomonadota; Gammaproteobacteria; Oceanospirillales; Halomonadaceae. The record is from RNAcentral.